GGCAGAGAAAGGGAGAGAAUGGCGUCGGCAUGGGGCGCAUUCUGGGGAACAAGGGUCCUGGAAAUUGUGAAGAAACACGAUUCCGGCGGCCUUCUGUGGAAGAGAAUUAAGCUCACUUCUACUCGUAAAGCUAACGCCAAGAAGCGUCUUCGCCGUGUUUGGCAGAAUGAAGCUGUCCUGAGGGCAUGUUCAGAACCAGCUCCCUCUGAAACUGCACAAGUAGAUGCUCUGGAGAAUUAAGUAAGAUGCAAUUAAAGAGCAGCCAUAGUAACUGAUAAAUGAGUUCCAAUAAGAACCAGAAAAAUGGAAUAUGGCCUACAGACCUGCUUGAAAAGGUCCUUUUAUACAUGCUCAACUACAUUAAUGGACCUAUCAAGAUUUUGUUCAGCGGUGUUAUUUCAGUAUGUCAGAUCCCUUUUAAGUUACUUGUAUUUGUUAAUUUUUGUGGGUUAUUGUAGAUCCUAAGCAAUGCUAGGUACUUAAAUUCAAUCUCACACACUGGUGCUCGAAUAUACGUUUCGUAGCUUAGUUGUAUUGCAAAUGUUCGUUUCAGUGACAAUUUAAUUAUGCAACAGGAUCCACUAAGAUCAUGUGUCUAUCUAUGUUUUAUCUGGAGCUAGUUGUGUGAUAAUUGGAUGUAUAGCUUCUAAGUUCUAACA
Molecule: long non-coding RNA, 659 nt
Organism: Nicotiana attenuata
Lineage: Eukaryota; Viridiplantae; Streptophyta; Magnoliopsida; Solanales; Solanaceae
Exons: 2
Source: RefSeq, a predicted model, not a curated record